UCGUCAUCGUUCUAGACUGCAUAAGCCCCAGUUUGAGACAGGGGUCUCGGGGUGCUGCACCCCUCUAGCCUAUGGGAGAGUAAUGCUUAAGAAUCUGCCUAUUAGUGGGGGACAACAUUUCGAAAGGAAUGCUAAUACCGCAUACGUCCUACGGGAGAAAGCAGGGGAUCUUCGGACCUUGCGCUAAUAGAUGAGCCUAAGUCGGAUUAGCUAGUUGGUGGGGUAAAGGCCUACCAAGGCGACGAUCUGUAGCGGGUCUGAGAGGAUGAUCCGCCACACUGGGACUGAGACACGGCCCAGACUCCUACGGGAGGCAGCAGUGGGGAAUAUUGGACAAUGGGCGCAAGCCUGAUCCAGCCAUGCCGCGUGUGUGAAGAAGGCCUUAUGGUUGUAAAGCACUUUAAGCGAGGAGGAGGCUACUUUAGUUAAUACCUAGAGAUAGUGGACGUUACUCGCAGAAUAAGCACCGGCUAACUCUGUGCCAGCAGCCGCGGUAAUACAGAGGGUGCAAGCGUUAAUCGGAUUUACUGGGCGUAAAGCGCGCGUAGGCGGCUAAUUAAGUCAAAUGUGAAAUCCCCGAGCUUAACUUGGGAAUUGCAUUCAAUACUGGUUAGCUAGAGUGUGGGAGAGGAUGGUAGAAUUCCAGGUGUAGCGGUGAAAUGCGUAGAGAUCUGGAGGAAUACCGAUGGCGAAGGCAGCCAUCUGGCCUAACACUGACGCUGAGGUGCGGGGACGACGUCAAGUCAUCAUGGCCCUUACGGCCAGGGCUACACACGUGCUACAAUUGUCCGUUCAAAAGGGAGGUGAUUAAGGAUUGGAAGAUACACUCACCAACCCGCUUCGAGGUCGGAAUGGUUUCUGCAACUUGCCCCCCUGAAGUCGGAAUCGGUUGUAAAGGGGGAUCCGGAUGCCCCGGUGAACCCCUUCCCGGGCCUGUUCCACACCACCCCGCACGCCAAGGGUUUCGGCGACCCCAGAGGUAUCCCCGCCAACCUCAAAGAGGUCCUUUUUGGCCGGCUCGAUGCCCCCCUUUCAUACACUGGAGAGAUCCAGAGUUGUGCCUGGACUCCCGUAU
Molecule: ribosomal RNA, 1075 nt
Filed under: Acinetobacter sp. AG-LSL 1
Lineage: Bacteria; Pseudomonadati; Pseudomonadota; Gammaproteobacteria; Moraxellales; Moraxellaceae
Description: bacterial SSU rRNA
Rfam family: Bacterial small subunit ribosomal RNA
Source: RNAcentral